Podarcis raffonei (Aeolian wall lizard) is the source of this 490-nucleotide long non-coding RNA. RefSeq lists it as uncharacterized. The transcript is spliced from 2 exons. NCBI's taxonomy places the organism in Eukaryota, Metazoa, Chordata, Lepidosauria, Squamata, Lacertidae. The record is from RefSeq and is a predicted model, not a curated record.
UGUAUAGGAUUGCCAGAUUGGUUAUCCAGAAUUGCUAACUCUCACGCUUGACUGUAAUUAUUUCAGUCAAGUGCAAAGAACGAGAAACUGAUACGGAAAGAUUCAGAACUCCAGAUAUGAAUCCAUGGCUGAGGGCCGAACUAUGCUGGCUGACGUUGCAGGGCGAAAACGAAGAGCUUGUGGAUCGAGACCCAGUUCCCUACUCCCUGAGCUACCAGUUGUGCUGAACAGCAAGCAAUUCCAGCUUAGACACUUGCACAGCAGCCCUGAACUCUCUCUGAUCUGGGGAGUUGGGUGGCACCUGAAGGCCAAUCCUCUGACAUCUGAUAUAAGCUUCCAGAUCUACAGGUUUCCUGCACUCUAGGUAACUUUGGGAAAGUGUUUGUUCUUUCAUGCCAAGUCAAUGGUCUAUAACCUGGCAUGCAUCCUCAUUUUGUAAAUAGUUAAUAAAGUUUAUAUUUUAUAGACAUCCUGGAUGUCCAUAGUUGUA